Molecule: ribosomal RNA, 354 nt
Filed under: uncultured bacterium
Lineage: Bacteria
Description: bacterial SSU rRNA
Rfam family: Bacterial small subunit ribosomal RNA
Source: RNAcentral
ACUCCUACGGGAGGCAGCAGUGAGGAAUAUUGGUCAAUGGACGCAAGUCUGAACCAGCCAUGUCGCGUGCAGGAAGACUGCCCUAUGGGUUGUAAAACUGCUUUUAUACGGGAAGAAAUAUAGCUACGUGUAGUUAUUUGCCGGUACCGUAUGAAUAAGCAUCGGCUAACUCCGUGCCAGCAGCCGCGGUAAUACGGAGGAUGCGAGCGUUAUCCGGAUUCAUUGGGUUUAAAGGGUGCGUAGGCGGAAGUAUAAGUCAGGGGUGAAAGUUUGUGGCUCAACCAUAAAAAUUGCCUUUUGAUACUGUAUUUCUUGAGUACAUUUGAGGUAGGCGGAAUGUGUUGUGUAGCGGUG